Molecule: ribosomal RNA, 163 nt
Filed under: uncultured bacterium
Lineage: Bacteria
Description: partial 16S ribosomal RNA
Rfam family: Bacterial small subunit ribosomal RNA
Source: RNAcentral
UAGGGGAAUCUUCCACAAUGGACGAAAGUCUGAUGGAGCAACGCCGCGUGAGUGAAGAAGGGUUUCGGCUCGUAAAGCUCUGUUGGUAGUGAAGAAAGAUAGAGGUAGUAACUGGCCUUUAUUUGACGGUAAUUACUUAGAAAGUCACGGCUAACUACGUGCC